Molecule: ribosomal RNA, 253 nt
Filed under: uncultured bacterium
Lineage: Bacteria
Description: partial 16S ribosomal RNA
Rfam family: Bacterial small subunit ribosomal RNA
Source: RNAcentral
UACAGAGGUCUCAAGCGUUGUUCGGAUUCAUUGGGCGUAAAGGGUGCGUAGGCGGCGCGGUAAGUCGGGUGUGAAAUCUCGGAGCUUAACUCCGAAACUGCAUUCGAUACUGCCGUGCUUGAGGACUGGAGAGGAGACUGGAAUUUACGGUGUAGCGGUGAAAUGCGUAGAUAUCGUAAGGAAGACCAGUGGCGAAGGCGGGUCGCUGGGCCGAUACUGACGCUGAGGAGCGAAAGCGUGGGGAGCGAACAGG